AGAGAAUUUAUGCUCAUAUUUGUACCACAGAGGCUCAAGAAUUAGGAACAGAUGUUGACUUUGGCUUGCCUUCCUGCACUGUGCCUGGAGCCCCAUCUUUUCUAUUUCUAAGCGAGAAUCCAGCAGCAGUUAUCGAGGAUUAUCAUUUCUAAAAGGAGUGUGCAGGAGGAGGAAAAAUGAACAUCAGUCAGCUACUGAGGCUGUGGGUAACCCAAAGGAUACUUCUUUCAGAAAGUAGAAGCGAAGGAGAGUAAUUAAUGAAAAUCUCCAAAUGAUGAAAGAAUGAAGCUAACAAGAGUCUGAAUACUACGUGUCUGGGGAGGAACCACAAGCUGUUUUGAACUUCUUCAAAGAGCUAAGACAAAAAGGAACAAAGCUGUAAAGAACGAGAUCAUCUGGACUGGGUAAACAUGAAGUUUUACCUGCUGUUAUCUCCCAGCUGAUGAAGUGGAACUAACUGGUAGUAUGUGCUUUUAAGAAAGGUUUUCUAUGAAAUAGUGGUGCUUUGCUUUGCAUCAGACCUGGCUGGUGGCUGAAUAGCAAUUGACACUGAAAGAAUAGACCUGGAAGGGCUGAACUGGCAUUAGAUCUUUUGAGAUGACCAGUGUAAAUCCCAGGGUGGCUACGACUGAAAAAUGCUGUGAAGUAGCAAAGUGGAUCAUAGGGCUCCAUCCCUCUUCUUCUCCCCAGCUCUAGGAAGGAAGAUGGCUAGAACUUGUGAAAUGAGUGGGAUGCUUUGCUCAGGCCGUUGAGGUGUGCAUAAAAAGACAUGUUUUGUCACCCUCCGCUUAUUUUAAAUAUUGAGUACAUGUGGUACAAAAUGACAAAGAUCUGCUCAAGUGUAAUGGUACCAUAAAAACUACUUAUGAUAAAAAACCCAACUGCCUAUUUUCAUUUCACCUUUC
This is a long non-coding RNA of Dromaius novaehollandiae (emu), 905 nucleotides long. RefSeq lists it as uncharacterized. NCBI's taxonomy places the organism in Eukaryota, Metazoa, Chordata, Aves, Casuariiformes, Dromaiidae. The transcript is spliced from 3 exons. The record is from RefSeq and is a predicted model, not a curated record.